This 497-nucleotide ribosomal RNA is filed under the name soil fungal sp. DM2-262. Its description in RNAcentral is "eukaryotic LSU rRNA". It matches the Rfam family "Eukaryotic large subunit ribosomal RNA", at positions 141 to 659 of the family's 3401-position model. The record is from RNAcentral. Lineage: Eukaryota; Fungi.
AGUUGUAAUUUGUAGAGGAUGCUUUUGGUGAGGUGCCGCCCGAGUUCCCUGGAACGGGACGCCACAGAGGGUGAGAGCCCCGUCUGGCUGGCCACCGAGCCUCUGUAAAGCUCCUUCGACGAGUCGAGUAGUUUGGGAAUGCUGCUCAAAAUGGGAGGUAUAUGUCUUCUAAAGCUAAAUAUUGGCCAGAGACCGAUAGCGCACAAGUAGAGUGAUCGAAAGAUGAAAAGCACCUUGAAAAGAGGGUUAAACAGUACGUGAAAUUGUUGAAAGGGAAGCGCUUGUGACCAGACUUGGGCGCGGCGAAUCAUCCGGGGUUCUCUCCGGUGCACUUCGCCGUGUUCAGGCCAGCAUCAGUUCGGCGCGGGGGAAAAAGGCUUCGGGAACGUGGCUGCUCCGGCAGUGUUAUAGCCCGUUGCAUAAUACCCUGCGCUGGACUGAGGACCGCGCAUCUGCAAGGAUGCUGGNGUAAUGGUCACCAGCGACCCGUCUUGAAA